This is a non-coding RNA of Camelina sativa (false flax), 106 nucleotides long. The record is from RefSeq and is a predicted model, not a curated record. NCBI's taxonomy places the organism in Eukaryota, Viridiplantae, Streptophyta, Magnoliopsida, Brassicales, Brassicaceae.
UAGAUGGAGGCAACGAAGUUCAUAUGAUUUCAUCCACACAGGCUCCUCAAAAGCACCAGAAAUAUGUGUCUCAUGUUCUUGGUCUUCCAAUGUCUAAAGUGGUAUG